This 254-nucleotide ribosomal RNA is filed under the name uncultured bacterium. RNAcentral's name for it is "partial 16S ribosomal RNA". It matches the Rfam family "Bacterial small subunit ribosomal RNA", at positions 524 to 777 of the family's 1533-position model. The record is from RNAcentral.
UACGGAGGGGGCUAGCGUUGUUCGGAAUUACUGGGCGUAAAGCGCACGUAGGCGGCUUUGUAAGUUAGAGGUGAAAGCCCAGGGCUUAACCCUGGAAUUGCCUUUAAGACUGCAUCGCUAGAAUCGUGGAGAGGUAAGUGGAAUUCCGAGUGUAGAGGUGAAAUUCGUAGAUAUUCGGAAGAACACCAGUGGCGAAGGCGACUUACUGGACACGUAUUGACGCUGAGGUGCGAAAGCGUGGGGAGCAAACAGGG